ACCAUGUCCCCACUAGACACAGGUACCAACACACACCAUGUCCCCACUAGACACAGGUACCAACACACACCAUGUCCCCACUAGACACAGGUAGGUACCAACACACACCAUGUCCCCACUAGACACAGGUACCAACACACACCAUGUCCCCACUAGACACAGGUACCAACACACACCAUGUCCCCUCUAGACACAGGUACCAACACACACCAUGUCCCCACUAGAUACAGGUACCGACACACACCAUGUCCCCACUAGACACAGGUACCAACACACACCAUGUCCCCACUAGACACAGGUACCGACACACACCAUGUCCCCACUAGACACAGGUACCAACACACACCAUGUCCCCACUAGACACAGGUACCAACACACACCAUGUCCCCACUAGACACAGGUAGGUACCAACACACACCAUGUCCCCACUAGACACAGGUAGGUACCAACACACACCAUGUCCCCACUAGACACAGGUACCAACACACACCAUGUCCCCACUAGAAACAGGUACCAACACACACCAUGUCCCCUCUAGACACAGGUAGGUACCAACACACACCAUGUCCCCACUAGACACAGGUACCAACACACACCAUGUCCCCAAUAGACACAGGUACCAACACACACCAUGUCCCCAAUAGACACAGGUACCAACACACACCAUGUCCCCUCUAGACACAGGUAGGUACCAACACACACCAUGUCCCCACUAGACACAGGUACCAACACACACCAUGUCCCCAAUAGACACAGGUACCAACACACACCAUGUCCCCAAUAGACACAGGUACCGACACACACCAUGUCCCCAAUAGACACAGGUACCGACACACACCAUGUCCCCACUAGACACAGGUACCAACACACACCAUGUCCCCACUAGACACAGGUACCAACACACACCAUGUCCCCACUAGACACAGGUACCAACACACACCAUGUCCCCACUAGACACAGGUACCAACACACACCAUGUCCCCUCUAGACACAGGUACCAACACACACCAUGUCCCCACUAGACACAGGUAGGUACCAACACACACCAUGUCCCCACUAGACACAGGUACCAACACACACCAUGUCCCCACUAGACACAGGUAGGUACCAACACACACCAUGUCCCCACUAGACACAGGUACCAACACACACCAUGUCCCCACUAGACACAGGUAGGUACCAACACACACCAUGUCCCCACUAGACACAGGUAGGUACCAACACACACCAUGUCCCCACUAGACACAGGUACCAACACACACCAUGUCCCCACUAGAAACAGGUACCAACACACACCAUGUCCCCUCUAGACACAGGUAGGUACCAACACACACCAUGUCCCCACUAGACACAGGUACCAACACACACCAUGUCCCCAAUAGACACAGGUACCGACACACACCAUGUCCCCAAUAGACACAGGUACCGACACACACCAUGUCCCCACUAGACACAGGUACCGACACACACCAUGUCCCCACUAGACACAGGUAGGUACCAACACACACCAUGUCCCCACUAGACACAGGUAGGUACCAACACACACCAUGUCCCCACUAGACACAGGUAGGUACCAACACACACCAUGUCCCCACUAGACACAGGUACCAACACACACCAUGUCCCCACUAGAAACAGGUACCAACACACACCAUGUCCCCUCUAGACACAGGUAGGUACCAACACACACCAUGUCCCCACUAGACACAGGUACCAACACACACCAUGUCCCCAAUAGACACAGGUACCGACACACACCAUGUCCCCAAUAGACACAGGUACCGACACACACCAUGUCCCCACUAGACACAGGUACCGACACACACCAUGUCCCCACUAGACACAGGUACCAACACACACCAUGUCCCCACUAGACACAGGUACCAACACACACCAUGUCCCCACUAGACACAGGUACCAACACACACCAUGUCCCCUCUAGACACAGGUACCAACACACACCAUGUCCCCACUAGACACAGGUAGGUACCAACACACACCAUGUCCCCACUAGACACAGGUACCAACACACACCAUGUCCCCUCUAGACACAGGUACCAACACACACCAUGUCCCCACUAGACACAGGUAGGUACCAACACACACCAUGUCCCCACUAGACACAGGUACCAACACACACCAUGUCCCCACUAGACACAGGUAGGUACCAACACACACCAUGUCCCCACUAGACACAGGUACCAACACACACCAUGUCCCCUCUAGACACAGGUAGGUACCAACACACACCAUGUCCCCAAUAGACACAGGUACCAACACACACCAUGUCCCCAAUAGACACAGGUACCGACACACACCAUGUCCCCAAUAGACACAGGUACCAACACACACCAUGUCCCCAAUAGACACAGGUACCGACACACACCAUGUCCCCAAUAGACACAGGUACCGACACACACCAUGUCCCCAAUAGACACAGGUACCAACACACACCAUGUCCCCACUAGACACAGGUACCAACACACACCAUGUCCCCACUAGACACAGGUACCAACACACACCAUGUCCCCUCUAGACACAGGUACCAACACACACCAUGUCCCCACUAGACACAGGUAGGUACCAACACACACCAUGUCCCCACUAGACACAGGUACCAACACACACCAUGUCCCCACUAGACACAGGUAGGUACCAACACACACCAUGUCCCCACUAGACACAGGUACCAACACACACCAUGUCCCCACUAGACACAGGUAGGUACCAACACACACCAUGUCCCCACUAGACACAGGUACCAACACACACCAUGUCCCCUCUAGACACAGGUAGGUACCAACACACACCAUGUCCCCAAUAGACACAGGUACCAACACACACCAUGUCCCCAAUAGACACAGGUACCGACACACACCAUGUCCCCACUAGACACAGGUACCAACACACAUCAUGUCCCCACUAGACACAGGUACCAACACACACCAUGUCCCCACUAGACACAGGUACCAACACACACCAUGUCCCCACUAGACACAGGUACCAACACACACCAUGUCCCCACUAGACACAGGUACCAACACACACCAUGUCCCCACUAGACACAGGUAGGUACCAACACACACCAUGUCCCCACUAGACACAGGUAGGUACCAACACACACCAUGUCCCCACUAGACACAGGUACCAACACACACCAUGUCCCCACUAGACACAGGUACCAACACACACCAUGUCCCCACUAGACACAGGUAGGUACCAACACACACCAUGUCCCCACUAGACACAGGUAGGUACCAACACACACCAUGUCCCCACUAGACACAGGUACCAACACACACCAUAUCCCCACUCGACACAGGUACCAACACACACCAUGUCCCCUCUAGACACAGGUAGGUACCAACACACACCAUAUCCCCACUAGACACAGGUACCAACAUACACCAUGUCCCCACUAGACACAGGUAGGUACCGACACACACCAUGUCCCCACUAGACACAGGUAGGUACCAACACACACCAUGUCCCCACUAGACACAGGUAGGUACCAACACACACCAUGUCCCCUCUAGACACAGGUACCAACACACACCAUGUCCCCACUAGACACAGGUAGGUACCAACACACACCAUGUCCCCACUAGACACAGGUACCAACACACACCAUGUCCCCUCUAGACACAGGUAGGUUCCAACACACACCAUGUCCCCUCUAGACACAGGUACCAACACACACCAUGUCCCCUCUAGACACAGGUAGGUACCAACACACACCAUGUCCCCUCUAGACACAGGUAGGUACCAACACACACCAUGUCCCCACUAGACACAGGUACCAAGACACACCAUGUCCCCUCUAGACACAGGUAGGUACCAACACACACCAUGUCCCCACUAGACACAGGUAGGUACCAACACACACCAUGUCCCCACUAGACACAGGUACCAACACACACCAUGUCCCCUCUAGACACAGGUAGGUUCCAACACACACCAUGUCCCCUCUAGACACAGGUACCAACACACACCAUGUCCCCAAUAGACACAGGUACCGACACACACCAUGUCCCCACUAGACACAGGUACCAACACACAUCAUGUCCCCACUAGACACAGGUACCAACACACACCAUGUCCCCACUAGACACAGGUACCAACACACACCAUGUCCCCACUAGACACAGGUACCAACACACACCAUGUCCCCACUAGACACAGGUACCAACACACACCAUGUCCCCACUAGACACAGGUAGGUACCAACACACACCAUGUCCCCACUAGACACAGGUAGGUACCAACACACACCAUGUCCCCACUAGACACAGGUACCAACACACACCAUGUCCCCACUAGACACAGGUACCAACACACACCAUGUCCCCACUAGACACAGGUAGGUACCAACACACACCAUGUCCCCACUAGACACAGGUAGGUACCAACACACACCAUGUCCCCACUAGACACAGGUACCAACACACACCAUAUCCCCACUCGACACAGGUACCAACACACACCAUGUCCCCUCUAGACACAGGUAGGUACCAACACACACCAUAUCCCCACUAGACACAGGUACCAACAUACACCAUGUCCCCACUAGACACAGGUAGGUACCGACACACACCAUGUCCCCACUAGACACAGGUAGGUACCAACACACACCAUGUCCCCACUAGACACAGGUAGGUACCAACACACACCAUGUCCCCUCUAGACACAGGUACCAACACACACCAUGUCCCCACUAGACACAGGUAGGUACCAACACACACCAUGUCCCCACUAGACACAGGUACCAACACACACCAUGUCCCCUCUAGACACAGGUAGGUUCCAACACACACCAUGUCCCCUCUAGACACAGGUACCAACACACACCAUGUCCCCUCUAGACACAGGUAGGUACCAACACACACCAUGUCCCCUCUAGACACAGGUAGGUACCAACACACACCAUGUCCCCACUAGACACAGGUACCAAGACACACCAUGUCCCCUCUAGACACAGGUAGGUACCAACACACACCAUGUCCCCACUAGACACAGGUAGGUACCAACACACACCAUGUCCCCACUAGACACAGGUACCAACACACACCAUGUCCCCUCUAGACACAGGUAGGUACCAACACACACCAUGUCCCCACUAGACACAGGUACCAAGACACACCAUGUCCCCUCUAGACACAGGUAGGUACCAACACACACCAUGUCCCCACUAGACACAGGUAGGUACCAACACACACCAUGUCCCCUCUAGACACAGGUAGGUACCAACACACACCAUGUCCCCACUAGACACAGGUACCAACACACACCAUGUCCCCACUAGACACAGGUACCAACACACACCAUGUCCCCACUAGACACAGGUACCAGCACACACCAUGUCCCCACUAGACACAGGUACCAACACACACCAUGUCCCCACUAGACACAGGUAGGUACCAACACACACCAUGUCCCCACUAGACACAGGUACCGACACACACCAUGUCCCCACUAGACACAGGUACCAACACACACCAUGUCCCCACUAGACACAGGUAGGUACCAACACACACCAUGUCCCCUCUAGACACAGGUACCAACACACACCAUGUCCCCACUAGACACAGGUACCAACACACACCAUGUCCCCACUAGACACAGGUAGGUACCAACACACACCAUGUCCCCACUAGACACAGGUACCAACACACACCAUGUCCCCUCUAGACACAGGUACCAACACACACCAUGUCCCCACUAGACACAGGUACCAACACACACCAUGUCCCCACUAGACACAGGUAGGUACCAACACACACCAUGUCCCCACUAGACACAGGUACCAACACACACCAUGUCCCCACUAGACACAGGUACCAACACACACCAUAUCCCCACUCGACACAGGUACCAACACACACCAUGCCCCCACUAGACACAGGUACCAACACACACCAUGUCCCCACUAGACACAGGUACCGACACACACCAUGCCCCCUCUAGACACAGGUACCAACACACACCAUGUCCCCACUAGACACAGGUACCAACACACACCAUGUCCCCACUAGACACAGGUACCAACACACACCAUGUCCCCACUAGACACAGGUACCAACACACACCAUGUCCCCACUAGACACAGGUACCAACACACACCAUAUCACCACUAGACACAGGUAGGUACCAACACACACCAUGUCCCCACUAGACACAGGUAGGUACCAACACACACCAUGUCCCCACUAGACACAGGUAGGUACCGACACACACCAUGUCCCCACUAGACACAGGUACCAACACACACCAUGUCCCCACUAGACACAGGUACCAACACACACCAUGCCCCCUCUAGACACAGGUACCAGCACACACCAUGUCCCCACUAGACACAGGUACCAACACACAUCAUGUCCCCACUAGACACAGGUACCAACACACACCAUGUCCCCACUAGACACAGGUACCAACACACACCAUGUCCCCACUAGACACAGGUAGGUACCAACACACACCAUGUCCCCACUAGACACAGGUACCAACACACACCAUGUCCCCACUAGACACAGGUACCAACACACACCAUAUCCCCACUCGACACAGGUAGGUACCAACACACACCAUGUCCCCACUAGACACAGGUACCGACACACACCAUGUCCCCACUAGACACAGGUAGGUACCAACACACACCAUGUCCCCACUAGACACAGGUACCAACACACACCAUGUCCCCACUAGACACAGGUAGGUACCAACACACACCAUGUCCCCACUAGACACAGGUAGGUACCAACACACACCAUGUCCCCACUAGACACAGGUAGGUACCAACACACACCAUGUCCCCGCUAGACACAGGUACCAACACACACCAUGUCCCCACUCGACACAGGUAGGUACCAACACACACCAUGUCCCCACUCGACACAGGUAGGUACCAACACACACCAUGUCCCCACUAGACACAGGUACCGACACACACCAUGUCCCCACUAGACACAGGUAGGUACCAACACACACCAUGUCCCCACUAGACACAGGUACCAACACACACCAUGUCCCCACUAGACACAGGUAGGUACCAACACACACCAUGUCCCCACUAGACACAGGUAGGUACCAACACACACCAUGUCCCCACUAGACACAGGUAGGUACCAACACACACCAUGUCCCCGCUAGACACAGGUACCAACACACACCAUGUCCCCACUAGACACAGGUACCAACACACACCAUGUCCCCUCUAGACACAGGUAGGUACCAGCACACACCAUGUCCCCACUAGACACAGGUACCAACACACAUCAUGUCCCCACUAGACACAGGUACCAACACACACCAUGUCCCCUCUAGACACAGGUAGGUACCAACACACACCAUGUCCCCACUAGACACAGGUAGGUACCAACACACACCAUGUCCCCACUAGACACAGGUAGGUACCAACACACACCAUGUCCCCACUAGACACAGGUACCAACACACACCAUGUCCCCACUAGACACAGGUACCAACACACACCAUGUCCCCACUAGACACAGGUACCAACACACACCAUGUCCCCACUAGACACAGGUACCAACACACACCAUGUCCCCAAUAGACACAGGUACCAACACACACCAUGUCCCCUCUAGACACAGGUAGGUACCAGCACACACCAUGUCCCCAAUAGACACAGGUACCAACACACACCAUGUCCCCUCUAGACACAGGUAGGUACCAGCACACACCAUGUCCCCAAUAGACACAGGUACCAACACACACCAUGUCCCCUCUAGACACAGGUAGGUACCAGCACACACCAUGUCCCCACUAGACACAGGUAGGUACCAACACACACCAUGUCCCCACUAGACACAGGUACCGACACACACCAUGUCCCCACUAGACACAGGUAGGUACCAACACACACCAUGUCCCCACUAGACACAGGUACCAACACACACCAUGUCCCCACUAGACACAGGUACCAACACACACCAUGUCCCCACUAGACACAGGUAGGUACCAACACACACCAUGUCCCCACUAGACACAGGUAGGUACCAACACACACCAUGUCCCCACUAGACACAGGUAGGUACCAACACACACCAUGUCCCCGCUAGACACAGGUAGGUACCAACACACACCAUGUCCCCACUCGACACAGGUAGGUACCAACACACACCAUGUCCCCACUAGACACAGGUAGGUACCAACACACACCAUGUCCCCACUAGACACAGGUAGGUACCAACACACACCAUGUCCCCACUAGACACAGGUAGGUACCAACACACACCAUGUCCCCGCUAGACACAGGUACCAACACACACCAUGUCCCCACUAGACACAGGUACCAACACACACCAUGUCCCCUCUAGACACAGGUAGGUACCAGCACACACCAUGUCCCCACUAGACACAGGUACCAACACACAUCAUGUCCCCACUAGACACAGGUACCAACACACACCAUGUCCCCUCUAGACACAGGUAGGUACCAACACACACCAUGUCCCCACUAGACACAGGUAGGUACCAACACACACCAUGUCCCCACUAGACACAGGUAGGUACCAACACACACCAUGUCCCCACUAGACACAGGUACCAACACACACCAUGUCCCCACUAGACACAGGUACCAACACACACCAUGUCCCCACUAGACACAGGUACCAACACACACCAUGUCCCCACUAGACACAGGUACCAACACACACCAUGUCCCCAAUAGACACAGGUACCAACACACACCAUGUCCCCUCUAGACACAGGUAGGUACCAGCACACACCAUGUCCCCAAUAGACACAGGUACCAACACACACCAUGUCCCCUCUAGACACAGGUAGGUACCAGCACACACCAUGUCCCCAAUAGACACAGGUACCAACACACACCAUGUCCCCUCUAGACACAGGUAGGUACCAGCACACACCAUGUCCCCACUAGACACAGGUAGGUACCAACACACACCAUGUCCCCACUAGACACAGGUACCGACACACACCAUGUCCCCACUAGACACAGGUAGGUACCAACACACACCAUGUCCCCACUAGACACAGGUACCAACACACACCAUGUCCCCACUAGACACAGGUACCAACACACACCAUGUCCCCACUAGACACAGGUAGGUACCAACACACACCAUGUCCCCACUAGACACAGGUAGGUACCAACACACACCAUGUCCCCACUAGACACAGGUAGGUACCAACACACACCAUGUCCCCGCUAGACACAGGUAGGUACCAACACACACCAUGUCCCCACUCGACACAGGUAGGUACCAACACACACCAUGUCCCCACUCGACACAGGUAGGUACCAACACACACCAUGUCCCCACUAGACACAGGUACCGACACACACCAUGUCCCCACUAGACACAGGUACCAACACACACCAUGUCCCCACUAGACACAGGUACCAACACACACCAUGCCCCCUCUAGACACAGGUACCAACACACACCAUGUCCCCAUUAGACACAGGUACCAGCACACACCAUGUCCCCACUAGACACAGGUACCAACACACAUCAUGUCCCCACUAGACACAGGUACCAACACACACCAUGUCCCCACUAGACACAGGUAGGUACCAACACACACCAUGUCCCCACUAGACACAGGUACCAACACACACCAUGUCCCCACUAGACACAGGUACCAACACACACCAUAUCCCCACUCGACACAGGUAGGUACCAACACACACCAUGUCCCCACUAGACACAGGUACCGACACACACCAUGCCCCCUCUAGACACAGGUACCAACACACACCAUGUCCCCAUUAGACACAGGUACCAGCACACACCAUGUCCCCACUAGACACAGGUACCAACACACAUCAUGUCCCCACUAGACACAGGUACCAACACACACCAUGUCCCCACUAGACACAGGUACCAACACACACCAUGUCCCCACUAGACACAGGUAGGUACCAACACACACCAUGUCCCCACUAGACACAGGUACCAACACACACCAUGUCCCCACUAGACACAGGUACCAACACACACCAUAUCCCCACUCGACACAGGUAGGUACCAACACACACCAUGUCCCCACUAGACACAGGUACCGACACACACCAUGUCCCCACUAGACACAGGUAGGUACCAACACACACCAUGUCCCCACUAGACACAGGUACCAACACACACCAUGUCCCCACUAGACACAGGUACCAACACACACCAUGUCCCCACUAGACACAGGUAGGUACCAACACACACCAUGUCCCCACUAGACACAGGUAGGUACCAACACACACCAUGUCCCCACUAGACACAGGUAGGUACCAACACACACCAUGUCCCCGCUAGACACAGGUAGGUACCAACACACACCAUGUCCCCACUCGACACAGGUAGGUACCAACACACACCAUGUCCCCACUCGACACAGGUAGGUACCAACACACACCAUGUCCCCACUAGACACAGGUACCGACACACACCAUGUCCCCACUAGACACAGGUAGGUACCGACACACACCAUGUCCCCACUAGACACAGGUACCAACACACACCAUGUCCCCACUAGACACAGGUACCAACACACACCAUGCCCCCUCUAGACACAGGUACCAACACACACCAUGCCCCCACUAGACACAGGUACCAACACACACCAUGCCCCCUCUAGACACAGGUACCAACACACACCAUGUCCCCACUAGACACAGGUACCAACACACACCAUGUCCCCACUAGACACAGGUACCAACACACACC
This is a long non-coding RNA of Salvelinus fontinalis (brook trout), 10709 nucleotides long. RefSeq lists it as uncharacterized. The transcript has 9 exons. The record is from RefSeq and is a predicted model, not a curated record. Lineage: Eukaryota; Metazoa; Chordata; Actinopteri; Salmoniformes; Salmonidae.